CAGGGAAUAGUUUAAUUAGAAUGUCAGCUUUGGGUGCUGGUGGUGGGGUUG
RNAcentral lists this transfer RNA (51 nucleotides) under Phoca largha (spotted seal). Its description in RNAcentral is "partial tRNA-Pro". The record is from RNAcentral. Lineage: Eukaryota; Metazoa; Chordata; Mammalia; Carnivora; Phocidae.